This 741-nucleotide ribosomal RNA is filed under the name uncultured bacterium. RNAcentral's name for it is "bacterial SSU rRNA". It matches the Rfam family "Bacterial small subunit ribosomal RNA", at positions 94 to 823 of the family's 1533-position model. The record is from RNAcentral.
AGCGGCGGACGGGUGAGUAACACGUGGGUAACCUGCCCAAGAGACUGGGAUAACACCUGGAAACAGAUGCUAAUACCGGAUAACAACACUAGACGCAUGUCUAGAGUUUGAAAGAUGGUUCUGCUAUCACUCUUGGAUGGACCUGCGGUGCAUUAGCUAGUUGGUAAGGUAACGGCUUACCAAGGCAAUGAUGCUUAGCCGAGUUGAGAGACUGAUCGGCCACAUUGGGACUGAGACACGGCCCAAACUCCUACGGGAGGCAGCAGUAGGGAAUCUUCCACAAUGGACGAAAGUCUGAUGGAGCAACGCCGCGUGAGUGAAGAAGGGUUUCGGCUCGUAAAGCUCUGUUGGUAGUGAAGAAAGAUAGAGGUAGUAACUGGCCUUUAUUUGACGGUAAUUACUUAGAAAGUCACGGCUAACUACGUGCCAGCAGCCGCGGUAAUACGUAGGUGGCAAGCGUUGUCCGGAUUUAUUGGGCGUAAAGCGAGUGCAGGCGGUUCAAUAAGUCUGAUGUGAAAGCCUUCGGCUCAACCGGAGAAUUGCAUCAGAAACUGUUGAACUUGAGUGCAGAAGAGGAGAGUGGAACUCCAUGUGUAGCGGUGGAAUGCGUAGAUAUAUGGAAGAACACCAGUGGCGAAGGCGGCUCUCUGGUCUGCAACUGACGCUGAGGCUCGAAAGCAUGGGUAGCGAACAGGAUUAGAUACCCUGGUAGUCCAUGCCGUAACGAUGAGUGCUAAGUGU